This is a non-coding RNA of Phoenix dactylifera (date palm), 403 nucleotides long. The record is from RefSeq and is a predicted model, not a curated record. Lineage: Eukaryota; Viridiplantae; Streptophyta; Magnoliopsida; Arecales; Arecaceae.
CUGGCACAGCAUCUAGAAGUGUUUAAAUAUCAGUACUACAGUCUUUUGUGCCAAGCAUGGCAAUUUCACAAACGGACUCAACUAUAUAAUCAUUAUGCAUCAAAGGAUUAAAAUAGAAAGACCUCUCACCUUCUAGAUUCCACAAGCAGAGCACGCUGUUCAGAUGUUUUAUCAGCACUAACAUCUCUCUCUCUAGCAGUAUAGCUGCACAAAAAUAACCAGGCUACAUCAAUCAGAUGAUCAGCAGGGCACAAAGAUCGCAAUGUAUCAUGUAUUGAUACUGUAAUAUGCAGAAAUUCAGCAUUAAAAAUACACCAAUUACUAUGAAAACUACUAUUUACCAGUGAAAAUUCAUGAGAAUACAUCAAAUUUAUGUUAAAUAGCUUCGCACAACCAAAAAAAA